RNAcentral lists this ribosomal RNA (382 nucleotides) under uncultured eukaryote. RNAcentral's name for it is "partial 18S ribosomal RNA". It matches the Rfam family "Eukaryotic small subunit ribosomal RNA", at positions 592 to 976 of the family's 1831-position model. The record is from RNAcentral.
UGUAAGCGUAUACCAAAGUUGUUGCAGUUAAAACGCUCGUAGUCGGACUUUGGCAGUUCCGGAUGUGUGCACGUCGUGUGCGCACUUCGCGGGGAUUGCUUUUGUGGUCUUGCGUAGGAUGAGGCACUUUUAUUAGUGAACGUCCUCACGCAACCACUUUUUACUGUGAGAAAAUCAGAGUGCUCAAAGCAGGCAUUUGCCGUGAAUGUAUUAGCAUGGAAUAAUAGAAUAGGACUUGGUUCUAUUUUGUUGGUUUGUUGGGACUGAGUAAUGAUUAAGAGGGACAGUUGGGGGCAUUUGUAUUUCGGUGCUAGAGGUGAAAUUCUUAGAUUACUGAAAGACAAACUGCUGCGAAAGCGUCUGCCAAGGAUGUUUUCAUUGA